CUCCUCUCUUUCUCCGGUAGAUCUAGCCGGUGGCAUGCUACAAGCUGUUUAUUCUACUAUGUUUCCAGGGAGAAGAAUGCUAGAUUUUCCAGCCAGUUUUCUUUCCUAAUCGUGGGUGGUGACGCCCUAGUAUAGUCUUCAUCGUCUCCGGCCUCGAGCAGCGCUGGGAACGAACUCAGAGAGCAGUUCUUUGUCCCGCUCGAGUUUUUCAAUGCUAGAUUUUUCAUCCAGUUUUCUUUCCUAAUCGUGGGUGGAGUAUAGUCUUCAUAGUCUCCAGCAGCGCUGAAAACAAACUUGGCGAGCAGUUCUUUGUCCCACUCGCAUGUAUUAGGCAAACUACUUCUCUUUGUA
Long non-coding RNA from Lolium rigidum, 351 nucleotides. RefSeq lists it as uncharacterized. The record is from RefSeq and is a predicted model, not a curated record. NCBI's taxonomy places the organism in Eukaryota, Viridiplantae, Streptophyta, Magnoliopsida, Poales, Poaceae. The transcript has 2 exons.